GACGAACGCUGGCGGCGUGCUUAACACAUGCAAGUCGAACGGAAAGGCCCUGCUUGCAGGGUACUCGAGUGGCGAACGGGUGAGUAACACGUGGGUGAUCUUCCCUGCACUUCGGGAUAAGCCUGGGAAACUGGGUCUAAUACCGGAUAGGAGCCAUUUUUAGUUUGAUGGUUGGAAAGUUUUUUCGGUGUAGGAUGAGCUCGCGGCCUAUCAGCUUGUUGGUGGGGUAAUGGCCUACCAAGGCGGCGACGGGUAGCCGGCCUGAGAGGGUGGACGGCCACAUUGGGACUGAGAUACGGCCCAGACUCCUACGGGAGGCAGCAGUGGGGAAUAUUGCACAAUGGGAGCAAGCCUGAUGCAGCGACGCCGCGUGGGGGAUGACGGCCUUCGGGUUGUAAACUCCUUUCGCUAGGGACGAAGCUUUUUGUGACGGUACCUAGAUAAGAAGCACCGGCUAACUACGUG
RNAcentral lists this ribosomal RNA (465 nucleotides) under uncultured bacterium. RNAcentral describes it as "partial 16S ribosomal RNA". It matches the Rfam family "Bacterial small subunit ribosomal RNA", at positions 28 to 507 of the family's 1533-position model. The record is from RNAcentral.